This 829-nucleotide ribosomal RNA is filed under the name uncultured Methanosarcinales archaeon. Its description in RNAcentral is "bacterial SSU rRNA". It matches the Rfam family "Archaeal small subunit ribosomal RNA", at positions 21 to 855 of the family's 1478-position model. Lineage: Archaea; Methanobacteriati; Methanobacteriota; Methanomicrobia; Methanosarcinales. The record is from RNAcentral.
AGGUUACUGCUAUCGAGGUUCGACUAAGCCAUGCGAGUCGAAUGUAGCAAUACAUGGCGAACUGCUCAGUAACACGUGGACAACCUGCCCUUAGGACGGGGAUAAACCCGGGAAACUGGGUAUAAUACCCGAUAGGUCUCGAUUGCUGGAAUGCAUCGAGAUUUAAAGCUCCGGCGCCUAAGGAUGGGUCUGCGGCCUAUCAGGUAGUAGUGGGUGUAGCGUACCUACUAGCCUACGACGGGUACGGGUUGUGAGAGCAAGAGCCCGGAGAUGGAUUCUGAGACACGAAUCCAGGCCCUACGGGGUGCAGCAGGCGCGAAAACUUUACAAUGCUGGCAACAGCGAUAAGGGAACCUCGAGUGCCAGGUUACAAAUCUGGCUGUCGAGAUGCCUAAAAAGCAUUUCAUAGCAAGGGCCGGGCAAGACCGGUGCCAGCCGCCGCGGUAACACCGGCGGCUCGAGUGGUAACCGUUAUUAUUGGGUCUAAAGGGUCUGUAGCCGGCCGGAUAAGUCUCUUGAGAAAUCUGGCAGCUUAACUGUCAGGCUUUCAGGAGAUACUGUCUGGCUCGAGGCCGGGAGAGGUGAGAGGUACUUCAGGGGUAGGGGUGAAAUCUUGUAAUCCUUGAAGGACCACCAGUGGCGAAGGCGUCUCACCAGAACGGACCUGACGGCAAGGGACGAAAGCUAGGGGCACGAACCGGAUUAGAUACCCGGGUAGUCCUAGCCGUAAACGAUACUCGCUAGGUGUCGGCCACGGUGCGACCGUUGUCGGUGCCGUAGGGAAGCCGUGAAGCGAGCCACCUGGGAAGUACGGCCGCAAGGCUGAAAC